This 383-nucleotide ribosomal RNA is filed under the name uncultured bacterium. Its description in RNAcentral is "bacterial SSU rRNA". It matches the Rfam family "Bacterial small subunit ribosomal RNA", at positions 30 to 417 of the family's 1533-position model. The record is from RNAcentral.
AUUGAACGCUGGCGGCAUGCCUUACACAUGCAAGUCGAAUGGUAACGGGCCUUCGGGUGCCGACGAGUGGCGAACGGGUGAGUAAUGUAUCGGAACGUACCUUUCAGUGGGGGAUAACGUAGCGAAAGUUACGCUAAUACCGCAUAUUCUGUGAGCAGGAAGGCAGGGGAUCGCAAGACCUUGCGCUGAUUGAGCGGCCGAUAUCAGAUUAGCUAGUUGGUGAGGUAAAGGCUCACCAAGGCGACGAUCUGUAGCGGGUCUGAGAGGAUGAUCCGCCACACUGGACUGAGGCACGGUCCAGACUCCUACGGGAGGCAGCAGUGGGGAAUUUGGACGAAUGGGGGCAACCCUGAUCCAGCCAUGCGCGUGAGUGAAGAAGCCUU